GGAGGGGUGGUCGAGUGGUCAAUGGCACUGGGCUGUAAACCCAGCGUUCUUAGGAACUACGUAGGUUCGAACCCUACCCCCUCCACCA
RNAcentral lists this transfer RNA (88 nucleotides) under Acidobacteriota bacterium. RNAcentral's name for it is "Acidobacteria bacterium (groundwater metagenome) tRNA-Tyr". It matches the Rfam family "tRNA". Rfam says of the family: Transfer RNA (tRNA) molecules are approximately 80 nucleotides in length. Their secondary structure includes four short double-helical elements and three loops (D, anti-codon, and T loops). Further hydrogen bonds mediate the characteristic L-shaped molecular structure. tRNAs have two regions of fundamental functional importance: the anti-codon, which is responsible for specific mRNA codon recognition, and the 3' end, to which the tRNAs corresponding amino acid is attached (by aminoacyl-tRNA synthetases). tRNAs cope with the degeneracy of the genetic code in two manners: having more than one tRNA (with a specific anti-codon) for a particular amino acid; and 'wobble' base-pairing, i.e. permitting non-standard base-pairing at the 3rd anti-codon position. Lineage: Bacteria; Pseudomonadati; Acidobacteriota. The record is from RNAcentral.